RNAcentral lists this ribosomal RNA (459 nucleotides) under uncultured bacterium. Its description in RNAcentral is "partial 16S ribosomal RNA". It matches the Rfam family "Bacterial small subunit ribosomal RNA", at positions 338 to 795 of the family's 1533-position model. The record is from RNAcentral.
CCUACGGGAGGCAGCAGUGAGGAAUAUUGGUCAAUGGGCGCGAGCCUGAACCAGCCAAGUCGCGUGAGGGAAGACGGUCCUAUGUAUUGUAAACCUCUUUUGACGGGGAGCAAAAGACGCCACGCGUGGCGUUCCGAGAGUACCCGAAGAAAAAGCAUCGGCUAACUCCGUGCACGCAGACGCGGUAAUACGGAGGUUGCGAGCGUUAUCCGGAUUUAUUGGGUUGAAAGGGUGCGCAGGCGGCAGAGCAAGUCAGCGGUAAAAUUGAGAAGCUCAACCUCUGCGAGCCGGUGAAACGGGUUUUCUUGAGUGAGCGAGAAGUAUGCGGAAUGCGUGGUGUAGCGGUGAAAUGCAUAGAUAUCACGCAGAACUCCGAUUGCGAAGGCAGCAUACCGGCGCUCAACUGACGCUCAUGCACGAAAGUGUGGGUAUCGAACAGGAUUAGAUACCCUUGUAGUC